GACGAACGCUGGCGGCGUGCCUAACACAUGCAAGUCGAACGGGGCAGCAAUGCCCAGUGGCGAACGGGUGCGUAACACGUGAGGAACUUGUCCAUCGGCGGGGGAUAGCCGGCCCAACGGCCGGGUAAUACCGCGUACGUCGGCGAGACCGCAUGGUCUUGCCGGGAAAGCAGCAAUGCACCGAUGGAGAGCCUCGCGGCCUAUCAGCUAGUUGGUGAGGUAAUGGCUCACCAAGGCGACGACGGGUAGCUGGUCUGAGAGGAUGAUCAGCCACAUUGGGACUGAGACACGGCCCAGACUCCUACGGGAGGCAGCAGUGGGGAAUAGUUGCGCAAUGGGCGAAAGCCUGACGCAGCGACGCCGCGUGUGGGAUGACGGCCUCGGUGUAACGACUAGUCGCGAGGGACGAA
RNAcentral lists this ribosomal RNA (410 nucleotides) under uncultured bacterium. Its description in RNAcentral is "bacterial SSU rRNA". It matches the Rfam family "Bacterial small subunit ribosomal RNA", at positions 28 to 449 of the family's 1533-position model. The record is from RNAcentral.